Molecule: ribosomal RNA, 553 nt
Filed under: uncultured bacterium
Lineage: Bacteria
Description: partial 16S ribosomal RNA
Rfam family: Bacterial small subunit ribosomal RNA
Source: RNAcentral
UAGGGAAUCUUCCACAAUGGACGCAAGUCUGAUGGAGCAACGCCGCGUGAGUGAAGAAGGUUUUCGGACCGUAAAGCUCUGUUGUUGGUGAAGAAGGAUAGAGGUAGUAACUGGCCUUUAUUUGACGGUAAUCAACCAGAAAGUCACGGCUAACUACGUGCCAGCAGCCGCGGUAAUACGUAGGUGGCAAGCGUUGUCCGGAUUUAUUGGGCGUAAAGCGAGCGCAGGCGGAAGAAUAAGUCUGAUGUGAAAGCCCUCGGCUUAAUCGAGGAAUUGCAUCGGAAACUGUUUUUCUUGAGUGCAGAAGAGGAGAGUAGAACUCCAUGUGUAGCGGUGGAAUGCGUAGAUAUAUGGAAGAAUACCAGUGGCGAAGGCGGCUCUCUGGUCUGCAACUGACGCUGAGGCUCGAAAGCAUGGGUAGCGAACAGGAUUAGAUACCCUGGUAGUCCAUGCCGUAAACGAUGAGUGCUAAGUGUUGGGAGGCUUCCGCCUCUCAGUGCUGCAGCUAACGCAUUAAGCACUCCGCCUGGGGGAGUACGACCGCAAGGUUGAA